Long non-coding RNA from Gossypium raimondii (Peruvian cotton), 4401 nucleotides. RefSeq lists it as uncharacterized. Lineage: Eukaryota; Viridiplantae; Streptophyta; Magnoliopsida; Malvales; Malvaceae. The transcript has 11 exons. The record is from RefSeq and is a predicted model, not a curated record.
UUUACACUCCUCACUCUCAUCCCAACCUAUAUACCCGAAAGACCUUAUUUUUUCCCCCUAAAAAUUUUCCCCAAAUCUUCCCCAAAUCAGAAUCCCUCCUCUGCUGCAUCGCCCUCCUCCACUCGACCAUCUGCUGCAUUGCCGUCGAGUGUCCCUUCUGCUGCGUUGCCAUUGUAAUCCUCUGCUGCAACCAAUCGUGAUUAUCUGUUUAAGCUUUUGCUUAUUGGUGAUUCUGGUGUUGGGAAAUCAUGUCUACUUUUGAGGUUUGAUGAUGAUUCAUAUCUGGAUAGUUACAUCAGUACCAUUGGUGUUAGCUUUAUUUGCAUUUGGCUGGCAAAACAAGUGUGAUUCCAAUUUGGCUGGAGGAAUUCCUGCUCAGCUGGCAAAUUUGUUAGCUUUCAUACACUAAAGCAUUGCACAAAAAGCAUAGAUAACCAGAAGACUUCAAGAACUACGAAAUGGAACGGUCUUGGAUGAAUUUGUCAAGGGUAAGCAACGACUAUCGAAAUAGAGUACAAACUUUUCUAAAUUUUGCAUUUCUAAAUGCAAGCCAAGAGAAUAUGAUUAUUUGCCCGUGUAAGAAGUGUGGCAACAUCAAUUGGCAUUUCCGUGAAGUUUUCUAUGAACAUCUAAUUGUUGAUGGGUUUAUUCGGGGGUAUAAAAAUUGGAUUUUCCAUGGAGAGUGCACAUAUAGUAGAACCUCUUCAACGAUUAAUCCGACUUAUUCUCAUAGUGCUUACCAUCAGUCUGUUAGAGAAGAUGACAUGGAAGGUAUGUUGCGGGAUGCAUUUAACAUGCGCAGUCAUGGUUUGUAAUCGUUUCCACCCGAUUUUGUUGCAUUCGAUGAUUGUAAUCUUGGUGAAAAUGUUUUUAUCGAAAUGAGAAGAAGUGUACCUGAUGAAGAGCCAAAUAGCGACAAAAUUUUACACGUUACUUAAUGAAAUGAAUGAAGAACUUUAUGAGGGAUCAAAAUUUUCAAAAAUGUUCUUUUGUAUUCGUUUUUUUAGUUAAAGUGUUUGGAAGGGUGGACCGGAAACUCUUUGACAAUACUGUUAGAGUUUUUGAGAGAUGUUUCUGUUUGCAAAAAUCCCUCAUUCAUGCAAAGAUAUGAAGAAACUGAUAAAAGAUUUAGGCAUUGGGUACAACAAAAUUUAUAGUUGCCUUAAUGACCGCAUGUUGUAUUGGGGUGAUCGGAAAAACCAAUAGUCUUGUCAUGUAUGCGGUAAGUCUCGCUGGAUGAAUAGAAAUACAGAAGAUGUGAAUGAGGAUGAAUAUGAUGCACAGUCAAGAAAGAAGCCAAUUAAGAUUUUGCGGUAUUUUUCGCUAAUACCAAGGCUUCAAAGGCUUUUCAUGUCGUCGAAGACAGCCGAGUCUAUGACGUGGCAUCAUGAUGGACGAAUUGAUGAUGGAUUAUUAAGGCAUCCUGUAGAUUCUUUAGCUUGGGAAUCAUUUGACAGUAAAUUUUUAAACUUUGCAAGUGAUCCUCAGAGUGUGAGGCUUGAGCUAGCAUUUGAUGGAUUUAAUCCUUAUAAAAUCAUGAGCACUUCGUACAGUACUUGGCCUGUAGUGCUUGUUUCUUACAAUUUGCCUCCAUUAAUUUGCAUGAAGCAAUCUUCUUUAAUCUUAUUUAUGAUUAUCUCUGGCGAGAAAGGUCCCGGAAAUGAUAUUGACAUUUAUUUGCAGCCACUUAUUGAAGAGUUAAAACAAUUAUGGGCGGGUAUUGAAACAUAUGAUGUAUUGAGAAAGGAGAACUUUAAUUUACAUGUAGCUUUGUUGUGGACUAUUAAUGACUUCUCGACUUAUGCCAAUUUAUUUGGUUGGAGUACUAAGGGACGUUAUGCUUGUCCUUGUUGUGCUGCGCAAACAUGUUCGAAGUGGUUAUAUAAUGGGAAGAAGUUCUCUUAUAUGGGGGCAUCGUAGGUGGUUAGAUAGAAAUUAUAAAUUUAGAUUUCAGAGUACUCUAUUUGACGGUACUGAAGAGUUCAGAGAAGUUCAUUCGCAGACCAUUGGAUCUAAAAUCUUAUUCAUGUUGAAAGAUAUGAAUUUCAGUUAUGGGAAGAUGAAUCAACUGCCCAACAUGCAAACAAAGAGAAUAUCAAUGGAUGAAUCUGAUGAUGAAUCUGAUGAUGAAUCCGAUAAAGAUGAUGAUCUUAAUGAGGUAGACUUGUGGAAAAAAGGAAGUAUUUUUUUUGAGUUAUCUUAUUGGGAGUAUCACAUUUUACGACAAUCUUGUUGUCAUGCAUAUUGAGAAAAAUGUUUGCGAGAACAUCAUUGGGACAAUUUUAAAUGACGAUGGAAAAUCGAAAGACAAUCUUCAGAGUCAACUUGAUUUAGUUCACAUGGGAAUUCGGUGUGAUCUUCAUCCCCAAGUACUUUCAAAUGGGAAAUAUCGGUUGUCGCCUUCUAUUUUUCAAUGUCAAAGAAAGAGAAAGAAGUGUUUUGUAUGGUGUUGAAGGAUAUAAAGGUCCCAGAUACGUAUGUAUCAAAUAUAUCUCGAUGUGUGAGUCUUAAAGACUGAGGACUAUAUUCCUUAAAAUCACAUGAUUAUCAUAUCUUGAUGCAAGAUUUACUAUUAGUUGCUUUACGGUGUUGUAUGUCAAAAAAUGUGACGUCUUGUAUAAUUGAACUAUCCAAUAUAAUGAAAGCCAUUUGUGGCAAAGUUUUGGAUGUUCAAGAACUUGAGAAAGUAUAAGAUUGAGCCGAUUUGACUUUAUGCAAUUUGGAGAAGAUCUUCCUACCUUCCUUCUUCACUAUUAUGGUGCACUUGCUAAUCUAUCUCCCUCAUGAAGCAAUACUUGGUGGACCCGUUUUCUAUCGAUGGAUGUAUCCUAUAGAAAUGUGCUAAUUUAUUUGUAAAUUAAUAAUUCAUUCACCUCUAUGCCUUUAGCUACAACUUUUGAUAAUGUUGUAUAUCGUGUUUAGGUUUCUAUCCAAAUUGAAGUUUUAUUACCGUAAUAAGCGUUAUCCAGAAGGAUCAAUUGCUGAAGGUUACUUGGCAGAGGAGUGUAUGACUUUCUAUUCUAGAUAUUUAGAAGAUGUUGAAACAAGACUGAACAGACCAAGUAGUGAAGGUUACUUGGCAGAGGAGUGUAUGACUUUCUAUUCUAGAUAUUUAGAAGAUGUUGAAACAAGACUGAACAGAUCAAGUAGAAAUGUUGGGCUCACUGAUCAUAAUGGAGAACCAAUCAGCAAAGUUGAAAUUGCAGAAUUAGAUGAUAGAUCGUGGGUACAAGCAUAUUGAUAUGUUCUUUUUCACCAUGAUUCAAUGGAACCAUUACGCAAAUAAAAUGCCUAGAAGAAGAUUGCGAGAUCUAAGUAUUAUUCAAAAGACUCCAAAUUCGGAAGAAACAAAUAGUGAACAACAGACUGCUAUUGGAUCUUUUAAUGUUCCGAAUACACUUGACGAACUUGUAGAAAUUCAAACUGAAAGUGAUGGGACGCGCAGAGGUCGAGGACGUACACUACUUAAAGAUUUAUACGAGUUAAAUCUUGUCGAGCGUGUCAAAGCAUCUAGAAACAAUCUUGGUCAGCCUGUUGGAUCAGAAGCUCGACUUUUAGCAGGAUAUUUGGGUAUUAUAGCUCGAAAUGCCAAUAUGUUGCCUAUCAACUAUGAGUCAUGGCAUCAAAUGCCUGAUAGUAACAAAAGUCAAGCUCUCGAAAAUAUUAAGGAGAGGUUUGCUUUAGAGGUCUCGGAUAAUAAUUUGCUUUAGAUGUCUCAGAUAAUUAUGUCAAGAAGGCAUUGGGAAAAAGAUGGAGAGACCAUAAAAGUACUUUAAAGAAAGAAUAAUUUAAGACAAAAAUAGCACUCGAAGAGAAAUUAUGAAAUGUCCUGCCGGGAAUGUUGAGGUACCAAUGGGAAGAUAAUGUUAGAUUUUGGAAUUUAAAGAAAUGAGAGGAUCGUGAAUGAGUUGGAACAAGCAACAGGCAAAAACAGAAAUUCACUCACACAGCUGGAUCGAAAAGUUUUGCUUGUGUAGCUGAGGCCGAGGAACUAUUGUCUAGUCAAAAAGUUGGACGCCUUCAGCUUUUUGACAUUAUACAUAGGAAGAAAGAUGGAUCUCCUAUGACUUCUGAAGCUGCAGAAAUUAUUGAGAAACUAAAGGAUAAAAAGGCGAAGUAUGAAGCGAUUGCUUCGAGUGAUAGUUCUGUUCAUCUUGACGACAUUGAUAACCGGAUUAUUAUUGAAGUUUUGAGUCCUAAAAGGUAUGGCCGAGUUUGAUUUCAAGGAUAUUUUUUUAACCCAACCUAAUAUUUUGGAUCCAGCUCACAGCAAUACAUGCCUUCGGGGAGUUAGGCUCAAGCUGAAGUUUAGAGGUUAAGAGAACAGAUGGCACAGAUGCAAGCGAGCACAGAUGAAUGAAUUGCUCAACUUAAAGCGGAAGCUGAAAGAAAAUAUGAAGA